Molecule: ribosomal RNA, 497 nt
Filed under: uncultured bacterium
Lineage: Bacteria
Description: partial 16S ribosomal RNA
Rfam family: Bacterial small subunit ribosomal RNA
Source: RNAcentral
GAUGAACGCUGGCGGCGUGCCUAAUACAUGCAAGUCGAGCGAACAGACGCGGAUCAUGCUCUUCUGACGUUAGCGGCGGACGGGUGAGUAACACGUGGAUAACCUACCUAUAAGACUUGGAUAACUUCGGGAAACCGUAGUUAAUACCGGAUAAUAUUUUUAACCUCAUGGUUCAAUAGUUAAAUACGGUUUUGCUGUCACUUCUAGAUGUAUCCGCGCCGCAUUAGUGAGUUGGUAGGGUAACGGCUUACCAAGGCGACGAUGCGUAGCCGACCUGAGGGCGUGUAGGACGACACUGGAACUGAAACGCGGUCCAGACACCUACGGGAGGCAGAGGUAGGGAAUCUUCCGAGAAGGGCGAAAGAUUGACGAAGCAACGCAGGGUGAGUGAUGAAGGUCUUCGUGUCGUAAAACUCUGUUAUUAGGGAAGAACAAAUGUGUAAGUAACUAUGCACGUCUUGACGGUACCUAAUCAGAAAGCCACGGCUAACUACGUG